CCCCUAGACGUUCUGGGCUGCACGCGCGCUACAAUAAUACGCACAGCGAGUAUCACCGAGCUCGAAAGGGCAAGGUAAACAAUAGACAAGGUACUGUAAUGGUUAUAGAUCCUUGUAAUUAUUGAUCUUCAACGAGGAAUUCCUAGUAAGUAUGUGUCAUCAUCACGCACUGAUUACGUCCCUGCCCUUUGUACACACCGCCCGUCGCUCCUACCGAUUGGGUGAGCCGAUGAAACUCUCGGAUGUAGGCUAUUCAUAGCCCGCAGAAGAGAUUUGAAUCGUAGCGCUUAGAGGAAGGAGAAGUCGUAACA
This 311-nucleotide ribosomal RNA is filed under the name uncultured eukaryote. RNAcentral's name for it is "partial 18S ribosomal RNA". It matches the Rfam family "Eukaryotic small subunit ribosomal RNA", at positions 1470 to 1796 of the family's 1831-position model. The record is from RNAcentral.